GCUAGCUAACAUGCAGGUCAGGCGGCAUUUGCUCUGCGUGACUGACCGAGAGCCGAGGACCAGGAGCAGCCAGCUCUGUGUACCCACGGACAAAGGUUGCAUGUGAAAGAGAAAUGUUCCACCACACCAGCUCUGCACCACGAAAGGUGUCGUGUGGAAAAUGCAUCUUUCUCUGCUGAGAGAUAACCGAGGAGCUGGGGUAUC
Molecule: long non-coding RNA, 204 nt
Filed under: Scophthalmus maximus (turbot)
Lineage: Eukaryota; Metazoa; Chordata; Actinopteri; Pleuronectiformes; Scophthalmidae
Description: lncRNA (ENSSMAG00000035934.1)
Source: RNAcentral